GAACAAGAGCCUACAUGCCCACUUGUAAGAAUCUGCACCAGUGAAGAUGAACCACUGUCACCACUGCUGAAAUGCACCACCCACCGCCUCACUGUGCUCACAUCCACCGUUUGGUCUCCAUCAACAUUCAGCAAGUGAUGAUGAACGUCAGUGGGCACCAUUUUUAAUUCAUGGAAGAAUUCAGUGACACAUCUUUACUUCGUCUGCACUUCCAUGUCAGAUGCCAUUUUGCCAGACUGCCCCUCUGCUGCCAUCUGUCACACGGCAACAGCAUGUAACAGAAUACUUUCAAAGCAGCCCUUGUACACAUACACACUCUGCAAUAGGGUAAGGGAAUGUGCCAGGCCAGGCAGCAGAUGGGGUGACUUCUGAUACAGGUAUUUCCCCACAGGCUUCACUGUGCCUCUCUGCUUCUCUUGCUGGACUUUCAGAUCUCUCUGGACUUCGUGUCUCAUUUGUAGUAUGAUGGCUCGAAAUGACAUUUUGGUCUUUUAGCUACAUAAAGUGAGAUUUUGUUAAUGAAUGAUUGCAGAAGACUGGGAUUAUAUAAUGAAGAGGAAAAAUAACAUUUGUUUUUGACUGUGUGAUCCUACACAGAUACAUUCAAACUUAAUGCCUAAAUACGUAGGGUUGUUUAUUGGGUUUGUGUUGUUGUUGUUUGUUUGUUUUUUUUAGAUUUCAAACGAAUAGCAAAUAGGUAAAUUAAGAUAGGUUUAAUUAAAGUCCUUGGAACAGAUUGGGUAACAGUCACCAUAAAACUGCUCAUGUUUCCACACAGGACUGAAGCAUAGAAGUGUAACCUUUUUUUUCACUCAAAUUCAGUUUUUUUGAAGGGAAGUCUGAUGUCCUUGAUACUGUCUAUUGCUUAAAUGAUGAGACUACUUUUUUUUCUAUGAAGUGGUAUGAGUCCCACUUGUUUUUUGCUGAGAAAUUACCAUGGUAGCCAUGCUGUGCCUACAAGCAUGACCAGGCCCUGCUGCCAGUCUCAACUGAUGUUGCACUAAAACCCCAAGCAGUAGCUUGACACUACUGGUGAAGAAGAUGCUUAGCUGAAGAACUGCCCCCUUAUGCUGCUUAUCACCCCACUGCCAUGCUCAUGCCAUUGAGACAGAAGGAUGUAUGUGUCUGAAGGCUUCUGUUGCUGCUUGGUGCAGAGCAUCACCUGGGAAAAUGAUGUUGAAGGAAGAAUGUAUUCAGCAGGAAAGAGGACUUGCCCUCUCCUAAUGUCUGUCUCCCUCAGGAAAGAGGACUGCUUCUGCCACGACUGCUUGUUCUCCCUCUCUUGAGCUCCCAUGGCUGUUACUGGGCCUUGCUACUGGGUAUGAAAGCCAGACCUGAAAGCAACAAAAUUCAACUUGCUCCUUUCCCUCCCUUCUUCAAAGACUUUGUGAUUUUGUGAAUAAUGGCAAUUACUAUUUUAAUUAUGGAUACAUCUCUAAAAAAUUAUAAAACAAUAUGACAAUAGAAAAAUAGUGUUGCAGAUAGAAAGUACAGCAGGAUUAAAUGAAAUCUGUCACAU
This is a long non-coding RNA of Gallus gallus (chicken), 1519 nucleotides long. NCBI's taxonomy places the organism in Eukaryota, Metazoa, Chordata, Aves, Galliformes, Phasianidae. The record is from Ensembl.